Scleropages formosus (Asian bonytongue) is the source of this 1999-nucleotide long non-coding RNA. NCBI's taxonomy places the organism in Eukaryota, Metazoa, Chordata, Actinopteri, Osteoglossiformes, Osteoglossidae. The record is from Ensembl.
GGAAGUCGCUGUCGAUGACUAGUCGGACCUCACGAUGAGUGUGACAAACACAGACAGUAAACUGCAAUAAACAAUGGCAAACCAAGGGCUAAUGAGUCCAAGCAGCAAUGACAGCAGUCGCUGCGUUCAUGUUAGCACUGGUUUUGACGACUACCAAUGUACGGUGAUUCUCAUGGUGAAAAGGGCAACAGCUACAUUCUCUUUAGUGGGAUGUCUCUUCAUGCUGUUUGUGAUCUGGCUUUUCCGCAGAUACCACUCCUUGGCUCAGAAGAUGGUCGUGAGCCUGACUGUAGCUGCGUUCUUUGACAGCGUUGCCUACGUCAUGGGUGAGGACCAUCCCAAAGGACCGCUGUGCACCUUUCAAGCCUGGUGGCUUACAUACUUUGAUUGGAGUGCCCUGGCCUGGGUCAGUCUCAUCACCCUUAACCUCUACAUCAACCUAGUGAAGGAGACACGGACGGAGCAGUACCACAUAUUCUACCAUCUGUUGGCCUGGGGGGUUCCUCUCCUGAUGUCCUGCCUUCCCCUGAUUGGUGGGUUCUACGGUCCGGCUGGACCCUGGUGCUGGAUCACAGACAAUCACGUAGCCUGGAGAUUUGGAAUAUGGUACAUCCCACUCUUCACCCUCAUUUUCCUGAUGAUUUGCUGCUACAUUCGCAUCAUCUACGUGGCCAACGCGAGGAUGCGGUCGUGGUUUGGGACGUUCAACCCAGAGAGAGAGCGGCGGAAGGUGUCACUGAGCGAGGAGAUCAAACCCCUGAAGUGGUACCCCUCCGUCUACCUGCUGGUGUCCUUGUGUCCCCUCAUCAACAGGCUCCACAAUGCCUUCUACCCUCAGAGUCCGGUCUUCUCUCUGACGUUGCUCCACGUGCUGUCGGCGCCACUGCACGGCCUGGCCAACGCCUUUGUCUUCGGCUUGGACCGCGACACUUGGGGCCAGCUGAGCGUCACCGGCAUCCAGCUGGCCCUGCACUCGCGCCUCUGUGACAGCACACAGAUCCGCGAGUACCACCCAGGGACGGUCCGCUACACGCCCCCCGGCCAGCUGGACCUCUCCGACUCGGACGACGACACCAACGUGCUCUUUUACUCCCCGGACAUGGCUCUGAAGGACAGGGGACCGUGAGGGGGAGCGGGGGAAGGGAGUGCGGAGAGAGCGAGAGAGCCGGGUCGGGAGGACAGCCAGGCACACUGUGCAGACGAGCUGUCAGCCUCCAUUAUUAAUUCCCGGCUCUUAAUAUUUAAUGUCAUAAAAGUGCAGCUCCCCACGCUACUGUGGGCCCUGGAGCCGGGAGGAGGACAUUGCUCGGUACGGCGGGGGGGGGGGGCAAGCUCUCCUAACCUCACGGUGGCUUCAAAGACACUCAUCUGUUUCUGAAGAUUUUUUUUUUUUUUUUUUUUUGCUCUGCUUACAUGGUUUACAUUAGUUUUCACCGUAUUGUAUCUGCUGUUUUUUGUUUUUUUUUUUUUUUCAAUUUACUAAUGUUUUGUUGUUUCACAAAGACAAGCAUGUAAUGUUUUACACUAUGUAUUUAUAAAAUAUACGUAAGUACGGCAUAUUUUUGUACCUCUUAAAUGUGCAACGCGUGCGCUGUGGCAGGGGCCCCUGGGAGACGGGGCCCCGAGCCCUCUUACCACCAGCGGGGGCCUCACAUUGGCUCGUUCCCCAUGCCCAGCAGCCACACGCAGACUCGCCUGUCGCUUUGAUGUAGCGGCUGCCACCGUGUGCCAGACACGGCCCCGUCAGGAGACACCUUGACAGCCUGUCAGCCGCUGCACCGUGUGAUUGGCAGCUGGUUAGAGGCGGCGGUAGCUAAGGGACAAAAGACACGAGGCUCUGCCCCCCCCCAGUAAUUUGGCUCUGCCCUUUCUUGAGCCUCAGUUUUGCCCACGAGUGACCGGGAAUCCCCUGCUGGCCCCGUGGCCCUCGGGAGCAUCCCAGUGACCCCACCAGGGCCAUCGUUCCUCAGUAAAGAAAACAUACCAAAUACAUCUGACU